UACGGGGGGGGCAAGCGUUGUUCGGAAUUACUGGGCGUAAAGGGCUCGUAGGCGGCCAACUAAGUCAGACGUGAAAUCCCUCGGCUUAACCGGGGAACUGCGUCUGAUACUGGAUGGCUUGAGAUUGGGAGAGGGAUGCGGAAUUCCAGGUGUAGCGGUGAAAUGCGUAGAUAUCUGGAGGAACACCGGUGGCGAAGGCGGCAUCCUGGACCAACACUGACGCUGAGUGAGCGAAAGCGUGGGGAGCAAACAGG
This 254-nucleotide ribosomal RNA is filed under the name uncultured bacterium. RNAcentral describes it as "partial 16S ribosomal RNA". It matches the Rfam family "Bacterial small subunit ribosomal RNA", at positions 524 to 776 of the family's 1533-position model. The record is from RNAcentral.